CACGUAGGGCGCAAGCGUUGUCCGGAAUUAUUGGGCGUAAAGAGCUCGUAGGCGGUCUGUUACGUCUGCUGUGAAAACCCAGGGCUUAACCCUGGGCUUGCAGUGGAUACGGGCAGACUAGAGGCAGGUAGGGGAGAAUGGAAUUCCCGGUGUAGCGGUGAAAUGCGCAGAUAUCAGGAGGAACACCGGUGGCGAAGGCGGGUCUCUGGGCCGAUACUGACGCUGAGGAGCGAAAGCGUGGGGAGCGAACAGG
RNAcentral lists this ribosomal RNA (253 nucleotides) under uncultured bacterium. RNAcentral's name for it is "partial 16S ribosomal RNA". It matches the Rfam family "Bacterial small subunit ribosomal RNA", at positions 524 to 776 of the family's 1533-position model. The record is from RNAcentral.